UGAGAGGUAGCUUAGUGGUAGAGCACCUGCCUAGCAUGUGCAAGGUCCUGGGUACAAUUCCCAGCAGUGCAA
RNAcentral lists this transfer RNA (72 nucleotides) under Ictidomys tridecemlineatus (thirteen-lined ground squirrel). RNAcentral's name for it is "Spermophilus tridecemlineatus (thirteen-lined ground squirrel) tRNA". It matches the Rfam family "tRNA". Rfam says of the family: Transfer RNA (tRNA) molecules are approximately 80 nucleotides in length. Their secondary structure includes four short double-helical elements and three loops (D, anti-codon, and T loops). Further hydrogen bonds mediate the characteristic L-shaped molecular structure. tRNAs have two regions of fundamental functional importance: the anti-codon, which is responsible for specific mRNA codon recognition, and the 3' end, to which the tRNAs corresponding amino acid is attached (by aminoacyl-tRNA synthetases). tRNAs cope with the degeneracy of the genetic code in two manners: having more than one tRNA (with a specific anti-codon) for a particular amino acid; and 'wobble' base-pairing, i.e. permitting non-standard base-pairing at the 3rd anti-codon position. The record is from Rfam by way of RNAcentral. Lineage: Eukaryota; Metazoa; Chordata; Mammalia; Rodentia; Sciuridae.